GUACACAAAUAUAAUAAUAAUAAUUAAGAGCAGUGGAGGGUUGUUUAUUCCUUUAUUUAAAAUAUUUAUGUGGCGCCUUUUCCUUCAAGAAAGCAGCCAUCCUAUGUGCUUAGGAUUUUGCCAUGACCAGGCAGGGGCUUGACCUGGGAUGUGUCCCCCUCCCCCUCCAUGUCCAAGGCCAGGAUCCACACUGGUCAUGAAGGGGGUGGGAGCCUGCUGGCCGCAAGGGUGACCCCCCCUCCACUGUCCCUCAGCAGCAGCCUGGGAGUAAAACACCCUCAGAAGACAGUGGUGCCCUUCUGUUUGUGCAAGAACAUCUGUGAGAUGAGGUGGGGGGGGAACAGGGAGCCAACGAGCUCAUCCUCAUUGGAGGCAAAACGUGCCACGGGUGUCCAUCUCACCACAAGGACCGCCGCAGGGUGUGUCUCCUCCAGAGCAGGGGCUCCACAGUUGCCGGUCAUGUUCAGCAAGAGGGAAUCGAAGCCGGUCCUUGGUUUCUCCUUCAGAUGUGAGAUGUUAACGGGAAUUAACAUAUUUUAUUCUCUGUCUUUUCCAGGUUUCCAUGUCCACGUGAAGACCGCUGGGAAGACGGGUGGCUGUGAGAAUAAGUUCUUAAAGGAUCUCUUAAAGCACCCGUCCCGCAAAAAAGUCUCUAUAAAAGUGAAGGACGUCAGGGAGGACUCAAGGCCCCUCACUCUUCUCUUCUGCCCCAUAGCUUCCCGCAUGGGCACCGACAUCGAAAACGCCCUCGAGGGACGGAGUGGCGAAGAGAAGGUCUUCUUGGUGGUCAUGCACUUGAUCCCAAAGGACAGCUCGGGGGCCUUCGUGGACACCAAACAGCAGGUGUCCCAUCCGGCCGUGGUGCUGACCGUGCACACCCGCUUCACCCUCCAGGAUGGCUUCUACCCUUGUGAGAUGACCGCCGCGGCUGUGGCUCACAUGGCAGAUUUCAUCAAGGACCUCAGCAAGCGUCACUGAGGGGGGACUCGGCUGCUCCCCACGUCUUCCUCAUUUGAUAUCCCGAGGGCUGGGGAUCUGUUAAGACGCCGAUGGGGUUUGCUGCAGAGCAUGCGGGGACUGGCCAGACUUUGCACCUUGGGUUGUGGCGGGAGGGGGUUCCCAUGCGUUCUUGCACCUGGAGUGGGAUCGACACCCCUCCCGCCCAGGCCAGAGAGCAGCACCGUGCCUUCAGCUGAGGAGGAGGACGCAAGGUGUGAUCGGAGAGAGAGAGAGAAUGCCCCUGCUCCUCUGAGCAUGCGCAGACUGACCAGGAGCCUCAGGCUGACUGGGCAGAGCUGGCCACGUCUGCUUCUCUGUGUGUGUGUUUGUGCGUGUGUGUAUGGAGGGGGCCGAGUUUGCAGGGCGGGGGCGGGGGGGUGUUUGACUCUUCUUCGGUGCUUUUACAAUCCCAGGGGAUGAUUUCAAAACCAGAAGGGGUUCAGAAUCAGAAGUGGGGAGAGGGAAAGGCAUGGCCAACGAUUGCAUGCUUUUAUUAAUCACACCCGGGGCGCCAAAUGCCUUUUCUGAGUUUUUAACGUUUUAUACUCUUCUAAUGCACCCAUGUAUUUUAAUGAGUAUUAUAGUUGAAUGGUUUUAAAACAUAUGAAUUCUUGUGUUUGAAUUCUCUUUUUUUAACACUGUGAGCCUCCCUGAGUCUGCCUCGUCUCCAGAGAAAGGAAGCUAAGACAAACUCAGGCAGCGGAAUUUUGAGUAUUGUGUCACUAAUGAAAAAUAUGAAAUAAAAAAUGAGAAAGUUGUGCUGUGGAGGUCUUU
Molecule: long non-coding RNA, 1773 nt
Filed under: Pogona vitticeps (central bearded dragon)
Lineage: Eukaryota; Metazoa; Chordata; Lepidosauria; Squamata; Agamidae
Description: lncRNA (ENSPVIG00000002473.1)
Source: RNAcentral